RNAcentral lists this ribosomal RNA (937 nucleotides) under human gut metagenome. Its description in RNAcentral is "bacterial SSU rRNA". It matches the Rfam family "Bacterial small subunit ribosomal RNA", at positions 8 to 943 of the family's 1533-position model. The record is from RNAcentral.
AGAGUUUGAUCCUGGCUCAGGAUGAACGCUAGCGACAGGCUUAACACAUGCAAGUCGAGGGGCAUCAUGAGGUAGCAAUACCUUGAUGGCGACCGGCGCACGGGUGAGUAACGCGUAUGCAACCUGCCCGAUACCGGGGUAUAGCCCAUGGAAACGUGGAUUAACACCCCAUAGUACUUUUAUCCUGCAUGGGAUGUGAGUUAAAUGUUCAAGGUAUCGGAUGGGCAUGCGUCCUAUUAGUUAGUUGGCGGGGUAACAGCCCACCAAGACGAUGAUAGGUAGGGGUUCUGAGAGGAAGGUCCCCCACAUUGGAACUGAGACACGGUCCAAACUCCUACGGGAGGCAGCAGUGAGGAAUAUUGGUCAAUGGACGUAAGUCUGAACCAGCCAAGUCGCGUGAGGGAAGACUGCCCUAUGGGUUGUAAACCUCUUUUAUAAGGGAAGAAUAAGUUCUACGUGUAGAAUGAUGCCUGUACCUUAUGAAUAAGCAUCGGCUAACUCCGUGCCAGCAGCCGCGGUAAUACGGAGGAUGCGAGCGUUAUCCGGAUUUAUUGGGUUUAAAGGGUGCGUAGGCGGUUUAUUAAGUUAGUGGUUAAAUAUUUGAGCUAAACUCAAUUGUGCCAUUAAUACUGGUAAACUGGAGUACAGACGAGGUAGGCGGAAUAAGUUAAGUAGCGGUGAAAUGCAUAGAUAUAACUUAGAACUCCGAUAGCGAAGGCAGCUUACCAGACUGUAACUGACGCUGAUGCACGAGAGCGUGGGUAGCGAACAGGAUUAGAUACCCUGGUAGUCCACGCCGUAAACGAUGCUCACUGGUUCUGUGCGAUAUAUUGUACGGGAUUAAGCGAAAGUAUUAAGUGAGCCACCUGGGGAGUACGUCGGCAACGAUGAAACUCAAAGGAAUUGACGGGGGCCCGCACAAGCGGAGGAACAUGUG